GUUGAAUGGUGCUGGUUUGUGGGGUUGGUGCUGUGCUGUGCUGCACGUUUCGUCCCGGCUGAGCCCCACAGCGAGUGUGGGUCUGGAGAGGGCUCUGAGGAGCUGGAGCGAGUCCGGCGGUUCGCGAAGGGACAGUGUAUUACACCCAAGAAGAUGAAGGCAGGUGGCCUUGGAUGUGACACUUCAUGGAAAUAAGUAUUCCAGGGCAUGAAAUCUUUCUGUAUUUUCAGAAAAGCUGAUUCUCCACUCCUGGGAUGGCACAGUGUGUUUGCUGUCACUGGGGUUUUAUCCUCAUGCUGAGUUUGGACUGCCUGGCCAAAGGACAAGAGAUUUUGUCUUCUCUCACAUUUGAAGCGCAGCAAAAGUGAUCUUGUGUCUCCUGGAACAGAGAACUCUGUGCUGAUCUCUACAUUUCAUACAAAGAAGGAUUGGGCAGCAUGAGAUGGAUGCAGGAAAUGCAUUGAUGCAGUGGUGGAAUAAACAGCUGUGCCUACACAUUGUUCAAGUUGUAACAUUCACUUCUUUGCUGAGUGAGCUGCUCGGGGCUGGCCCUUUUCUUGUAGUUUGCUGCAAGAAAUUAAAAUAAAUUAAGUGGGAUAAACA
Long non-coding RNA from Zonotrichia leucophrys gambelii, 603 nucleotides. RefSeq lists it as uncharacterized. NCBI's taxonomy places the organism in Eukaryota, Metazoa, Chordata, Aves, Passeriformes, Passerellidae. The record is from RefSeq and is a predicted model, not a curated record. The transcript has 3 exons.